AUUUUAAAACUUGAAAACGCUUUAAGAGGCAAAUUCGUCAACCAAAAACCAACGUCGACUUUGUUUCUCCACAAGGACAUCUUUCCUUUUUGGCCAGCAAAAAAAGGACAAAACAAAAGCCAGAAGUAACCGAAGAGAAAAACCAGGAACACAAUAACAAACACAAAAUGGCAUAAUAGGCUUUGUGGGCGUGACUACGAAGGAGGCGAUGGGGAGAAGCGCAAUCAAGCGUUUCUAGAUAGUUUUGCUGGGAAACAAAAAAAAAAGUACAACAAAUUUUCUACUACAAUGCCUACAAAAUACUACCAACAAAGAGAAAAAAACUUUACACCCGCCGCCCCGAGAAAAAAAAACGUAAAAAAUCAUAAAAAUUCCAACGAAUACGAGUGGAUAAAACGCAAUGCUCAUAAAAAUGGUUACGCACAUUGGGCAAAGGCGGCAUGUGUGCGAGCCCCAAGGAUCUCCGGAAAAAAGGACCCACACCUGAAUCAUUCCCCACUUCGGCCGGAAAGGCACCUUCUGUUGCUGUAUGCAAAAAUUGAAAAAAUACAAAUUUCCCAUUACAGUUUUCCAUUGCUUUCCUCUUUCUCUCGAUAUAGUAUUUUUUGGGCAAAGCCUGCAAUUGGCAGUAAAGUUAAAUGAGAAUUGUAGCCUUGCGAGAAAAUUGUAUACAAACCGAAAUAAAUAUAAAUUAUAAAUGCCGUAUAUAAAGCUACAGAGACGAAAAUUGUACAUAUGCAUUUAAUUAACGUUCAUUAAAUAUUUACAAAU
This is a non-coding RNA of Drosophila melanogaster (fruit fly), 771 nucleotides long. NCBI's taxonomy places the organism in Eukaryota, Metazoa, Arthropoda, Insecta, Diptera, Drosophilidae. The record is from Ensembl.